AUGUCCUCUAGAAAGCAUUUAUCUGGUAGUGCCAAAAGGAAGAGAAAGAAGGAAAAAGAUGAAGAGGUAAAAUCCCUAAAAGGAUCACUUAAGAAUUUUUUCAGACCUGCUAGUUCUUCUAGAGAUCCCCUGGAAUUGGCCAUAGUAUGUGUUGAAGAACAACCAGCUGAAAAUACAAAUUCUAUUGAUGAUGAUAUGAAUGGCGGUAAUAGCAAUUCCAGUGAGCAAGAAAAUGUAACUCAUUCACCAAAUUCUGAAUCACCGGGUGUUGAUAAACAACAACCAUUCACUGUUGAUAUUUUUGAUUCACAAAACUGGGAUAAUCUGGAUGAUAAGGCUAGAGAUAUUUUAGUUGAGAAGGGUCCCGUAAGAAAUGAUGAUAUUGUGUUCCCUCCGGAUAGUAACUCUAGACAUUUUUCAAAAUCUUAUUAUUCGAGAAAGUUGAGCAAUGGAGAGGUACAUGACAGGAAAUGGUUGGUUUACUCUGAACAUGCUAACAAAGUGUACUGCUUUUGUUGCAAGCUUUUCAAAUCCCAUAGCAACAAGAGUGCGUUAGCAGGUAAUGGAUUGAGUGAUUGGAAGCAUCUUAGCGAGAGGCUUAAAGAACAUGAAAAUGGUGUAGAGCAUAUUAAAACCAUGAACACUUGGAAUGAGUUAAAAGUUAGACUAGCCAAAAAUAAAACCAUUGAUAAGGAUUUGCAGCAGCAAAUCAAUAAGGAGAAAGAACGUUUGAGACAAGUGUUAGUGAGAUUAGUAGCCAUUGUUAAAUAUCUUGGUAAACGUAGCUUGGCUUUUCGUGGAUCUAGUGAGAAACUUUACCAACACAAUAAUGGUAAUUUUUUGGCAUGUGUAGAGAUGAUUGCUGAAUUUGAUCCAAUAAUGCAAGAACAUCUUAGACGAAUUCAAAAUGAUGAAAUUUAUCAUCACUAUCUCAGCCACAAAAUUCAGAAUGAGUUGAUUUCUCUAUUGGCCUCUAGUGUUACUAGUUCUAUCUUACAAAUUAUUAAAGAGGCUAAAUAUUUCUCCAUAAUUCUUGAUUGUACUCCGGAUGUUAGCCAUCAAGAACAAAUGACCCUAAUUAUUCGAUGUGUUAACAUGUCAAAUAAGAAAAUAAAAAUAGAAGAAUUUUUUAUGGAAUUUUUGACAGUGGAUGACACUUCUGGUUUGGGUCUUUUUAAUGUACUUCUUGACGCAAUAGAUUCAUAUGGCUUAAAUAUUGAUAAUGUAAGGGGCCAAGGCUACGAUAAUGGUUCCAACAUGAAAGGAAAUAAACAAGGGGUACAAAGUCGUUUACUUGAAAAAAAUCCAAGAGCUCUAUAUAUGCCAUGUGCGUGUCAUAGCCUCAAUCUUACUUUGUGUGAUAUGGCAAAUUCUUGCAGUAAAGCUAUAUCCUUCUUUGGAAUUGUGCAACGAAUUUAUAUUUUAUUUUCAAGUUCCACUAAAAGAUGGAAGUUUUACUUGAUCAUAUUCCUAGUUUAA
Molecule: ribosomal RNA, 1479 nt
Filed under: Triticum aestivum (bread wheat)
Lineage: Eukaryota; Viridiplantae; Streptophyta; Magnoliopsida; Poales; Poaceae
Description: partial small subunit ribosomal RNA
Source: RNAcentral